This is a non-coding RNA of Caenorhabditis elegans, 146 nucleotides long. Lineage: Eukaryota; Metazoa; Nematoda; Chromadorea; Rhabditida; Rhabditidae. The record is from Ensembl.
UCCAGGGGAAAGUGAUAAGGUUAUUGAAUCUACAUCUGUAUGCAAACAACUCUUUUUCUCUAGUUAUUCAUACUCUACAACAGUUUUCUGUACACUGCACCAGAGGAAGAAAUAGUAUAGAAUGAGGAAGAGAUUCAGACAGACAA